GCCAGGUGUGGUGGCGCACACCUGUAAUCCCAGCUAUUUGGGAGGCUGAGGUGGGAGGAUUGCUUGAGCCUGGGAGGUGGAGGUUGCAGUGAGCCGAGAUCAGGCCACUGCACUCCAGCCUGGGUGACAGAGCAAAAUUCCAUCUCAA
This is an unclassified non-coding RNA of Pongo abelii (Sumatran orangutan), 148 nucleotides long. It matches the Rfam family "Metazoan signal recognition particle RNA". Rfam says of the family: The signal recognition particle (SRP) is a universally conserved ribonucleoprotein. It is involved in the co-translational targeting of proteins to membranes. The record is from Ensembl. NCBI's taxonomy places the organism in Eukaryota, Metazoa, Chordata, Mammalia, Primates, Hominidae.